RNAcentral lists this microRNA precursor (94 nucleotides) under Paramuricea clavata. Lineage: Eukaryota; Metazoa; Cnidaria; Anthozoa; Malacalcyonacea; Plexauridae. The record is from RNAcentral.
UGAUGAUGAUAAUGGUGAUGAUGUUGAUGGUGAUGAUGAUGACAAUGGUGGUGAUAAUAACACCAUCAUCACAUCACCACUACCAUCACAAUCA